This 834-nucleotide ribosomal RNA is filed under the name uncultured bacterium. RNAcentral's name for it is "bacterial SSU rRNA". It matches the Rfam family "Bacterial small subunit ribosomal RNA", at positions 100 to 933 of the family's 1533-position model. The record is from RNAcentral.
GACGGGUGAGGAAUGCGUCGGAAUCUGCCCAGUUGUGGGGGAUAACUAGCCGAAAGGUUAGCUAAUACCGCAUACGACCGAGAGGUGAAAGCGGGGGACUCGUAAGGGCCUGGCGCUUGAAGAGGGGCCCGCGCCCGAUUAGCUAGUUGGUGGGGUAAUGGCUCACCAAGGCAACGAUCGGUAGCCGGCCUGAGAGGGCGGUCGGCCACACUGGAACUGAGACACGGUCCAGACUCCUACGGGAGGCAGCAGUGGGGAAUUGUUCGCAAUGGGCGCAAGCCUGACGACGCAACGCCGCGUGGAGGAUGAAGGUCUUCGGAUUGUAAACUCCUGUUGAUCGGGACGAAUGGCCUUCGGGUUAAUACCCCGGAGGAUUGACGGUACCGGUUGAGGAAGCCCCGGCUAACUCUGUGCCAGCAGCCGCGGUAAUACAGAGGGGGCAAGCGUUGUUCGGAAUUACUGGGCGUAAAGGGCGCGUAGGCGGCCACCUAAGUCGGACGUGAAAUCCCUCGGCUCAACCGAGGAACUGCGUCUGAUACUGGGCGGCUUGAGUUCGGGAGAGGGAUGUGGAAUUCCAGGUGUAGCGGUGAAAUGCGUAGAUAUCUGGAGGAACAUCUGUGGCGAAAGCGGCAUCCUGGACCGACACUGACGCUGAGGCGCGAAAGCCAGGGGAGCAAACGGGAUUAGAUACCCCGGUAGUCCUGGCCCUAAACGAUGAAUGCUUGUGUGGCGGGUAUCGAUCCCUGCCGUGCCGAAGCUAACGCAUUAAGCAUUCGCCUGGGAGUACGUCGCAAGGCUGAAACUCAAAGGAAUUGACGGGGCCGCACAAGCGUG